Small nuclear RNA from Zalophus californianus (California sea lion), 108 nucleotides. The record is from Ensembl. Lineage: Eukaryota; Metazoa; Chordata; Mammalia; Carnivora; Otariidae.
GUGCUCGCUUUGGCAGCACAUAUACUAAAAUUGGAAUGAUACAGAGAAGAUUAGCAUGGCCCCUGCACAAGGAUGACACGCAAACUUUCUGCGUAUAUCCUUAACUCU